Non-coding RNA from Pelobates cultripes (western spadefoot toad), 253 nucleotides. NCBI's taxonomy places the organism in Eukaryota, Metazoa, Chordata, Amphibia, Anura, Pelobatidae. The record is from the annotation of a GenBank genome assembly.
AAAAGAUUGGUUUGUAGAACAGAGGUGGUAGACCAACAGUUAAAUAUAUCCUAUAUCCAUUUUACAAACCCAAUUGGAAUAUGUGAAGAACAGGGAAGAAACAUGUGAUAUAAAUGUACCUAAGCAAGUCAAAAUAGAAGAUAGAAUCAAGUUUAUUUCAAGAUAUAGUACACUAUCUUCUGAUUUAAAACAUACUAUAGACAGACAUUGGCAUAUAUUAUCUAAGUGUCAUCCUAAUAUUGUGGAAUUUGAA